RNAcentral lists this ribosomal RNA (533 nucleotides) under Fusarium equiseti. RNAcentral's name for it is "eukaryotic LSU rRNA". The stretch from base 162 to 315 matches the Rfam family "5.8S ribosomal RNA". The record is from RNAcentral. Lineage: Eukaryota; Fungi; Ascomycota; Sordariomycetes; Hypocreales; Nectriaceae.
GAGGGAUCAUUACCGAGUUUACAACUCCCAAACCCCUGUGAACAUACCUAUACGUUGCCUCGGCGGAUCAGCCCGCGCCCCGUAAAAAGGGACGGCCCGCCCGAGGACCCCUAAACUCUGUUUUUAGUGGAACUUCUGAGUAAAACAAACAAAUAAAUCAAAACUUUCAACAACGGAUCUCUUGGUUCUGGCAUCGAUGAAGAACGCAGCAAAAUGCGAUAAGUAAUGUGAAUUGCAGAAUUCAGUGAAUCAUCGAAUCUUUGAACGCACAUUGCGCCCGCCAGUAUUCUGGCGGGCAUGCCUGUUCGAGCGUCAUUUCAACCCUCAAGCUCAGCUUGGUGUUGGGACUCGCGGUAACCCGCGUUCCCCAAAUCGAUUGGCGGUCACGUCGAGCUUCCAUAGCGUAGUAAUCAUACACCUCGUUACUGGUAAUCGUCGCGGCCACGCCGUAAAACCCCAACUUCUGAAUGUGACCUCGGAUCAGGUAGGAAUACCCGCUGAACUUAAGCAUAUCAAAAACCGCGGAGGGAAAA